UACGGGGGGGGCAAGCGUUGUUCGGAUUUACUGGGCGUAAAGCGCGUGUAGGCGGCUAUGUAAGUCGGGCGUGAAAUCCCACGGCUCAACCGUGGAAGUGCACCCGAAACUGCGUAGCUAGAGUCCUGGAGAGGAAGGUGGAAUGCUUGGUGUAGAGGUGAAAUUCGUAGAUAUCAAGCGGAACACCGGUGGCGAAGGCGGCCUUCUGGACAGUGACUGACGCUGAGACGCGAAAGCGUGGGGAGCAAACAGG
Molecule: ribosomal RNA, 253 nt
Filed under: uncultured bacterium
Lineage: Bacteria
Description: partial 16S ribosomal RNA
Rfam family: Bacterial small subunit ribosomal RNA
Source: RNAcentral